UAAGGAAUAUUGGUCAAUGGACGCAAGUCUGAACCAGCCAUGCCGCGUGAAGGAUGAAGGCCCUCUGGGUUGUAAACUUCUUUUAUCUGGGAAGAAAUGCAUGCUUUCUAGCGUGUUUGACGGUACCAGAGGAAUAAGCACCGGCUAACUCCGUGCCAGCAGCCGCGGUAAUACGGAGGGUGCAAGCGUUAUCCGGAUUCACUGGGUUUAAAGGGUGCGUAGGUGGGAAUGUAAGUCAGUGGUGAAAUCUCCGUGCUUAACAUGGAAACUGCCAUUGAUACUAUGUUUCUUGAAUCUUCCGGAGGUCAGCGGAAUAUGUCAUGUAGCGGUGAAAUGCUUAGAUAUGACAUAGAACACCAAUUGCGAAGGCAGCUGACUACAGGAGCAUUGACACUGAGGCACGAAAGCGUGGGGAUCAAACAG
This 423-nucleotide ribosomal RNA is filed under the name uncultured bacterium. RNAcentral's name for it is "bacterial SSU rRNA". It matches the Rfam family "Bacterial small subunit ribosomal RNA", at positions 355 to 775 of the family's 1533-position model. The record is from RNAcentral.